Molecule: small nucleolar RNA, 107 nt
Organism: Humulus lupulus (European hop)
Lineage: Eukaryota; Viridiplantae; Streptophyta; Magnoliopsida; Rosales; Cannabaceae
Source: RefSeq, a predicted model, not a curated record
AUUCCAUGGUGCGGACAUUUCCUUAGCAACUCCUUAAAGCACUCCCAAGAAUCAUACAGUGACUCUCCAUCCAACUGAUAAAAAUUAUUAAUCUCACCCCUUAACUU